CGUAGGUGGCGAGCGUUAUCCGGAUUUAUUGGGUUUAAAGGGUGCGUAGGCGGCUUAAUAAGUCGGUGGUCAAAGGUAGCAGCUUAACUGUUUUACAUGCCACCGAUACUGUUGAGCUUGAGAUAUGUGGAGGCAGAUGGAAUUUCCGGUGUAGCGGUGAAAUGCAUAGAUACCGGAAGGAACUCCUAUUGCGAAGGCAAUCUGCUACAGAUAAACUGACGCUGAUGCACGAAAGCGUGGGGAUCAAACAGGAUUAGAUACCCUGGUAGUCCACGCCGUAAACGAUGAUUACUAGUUGUUGGCCCGCUGGGGUCGGUGACCAAGGGAAACCGAUAAGUAAUCCACCUGGGGAGUACGCCGGCAAACGGUG
Molecule: ribosomal RNA, 370 nt
Filed under: uncultured organism
Description: bacterial SSU rRNA
Rfam family: Bacterial small subunit ribosomal RNA
Source: RNAcentral